RNAcentral lists this ribosomal RNA (1513 nucleotides) under Klebsiella pneumoniae. RNAcentral describes it as "bacterial SSU rRNA". It matches the Rfam family "Bacterial small subunit ribosomal RNA". The record is from RNAcentral. Lineage: Bacteria; Pseudomonadati; Pseudomonadota; Gammaproteobacteria; Enterobacterales; Enterobacteriaceae.
AAAUUGAAGAGUUUGAUCAUGGCUCAGAUUGAACGCUGGCGGCAGGCCUAACACAUGCAAGUCGAGCGGUAGCACAGAGAGCUUGCUCUCGGGUGACGAGCGGCGGACGGGUGAGUAAUGUCUGGGAAACUGCCUGAUGGAGGGGGAUAACUACUGGAAACGGUAGCUAAUACCGCAUAACGUCGCAAGACCAAAGUGGGGACCUUCGGGCCUCAUGCCAUCAGAUGUGCCCAGAUGGGAUUAGCUAGUAGGUGGGGUAACGGCUCACCUAGGCGACGAUCCCUAGCUGGUCUGAGAGGAUGACCAGCCACACUGGAACUGAGACACGGUCCAGACUCCUACGGGAGGCAGCAGUGGGAAUAUUGCACAAUGGGCGCAAGCCUGAUGCAGCCAUGCCGCGUGUGUGAAGAAGGCCUUCGGGUUGUAAAGCACUUUCAGCGGGGAGGAAGGCGAUAAGGUUAAUAACCUUGUCGAUUGACGUUACCCGCAGAAGAAGCACCGGCUAACUCCGUGCCAGCAGCCGCGGUAAUACGGAGGGUGCAAGCGUUAAUCGGAAUUACUGGGCGUAAAGCGCACGCAGGCGGUCUGUCAAGUCGGAUGUGAAAUCCCGGGCUUAACCCGGGAACUGCAUUCGAAACUGGCAGGCUAGAGUCUUGUAGAGGGGGUAGAAUUCCGUGUAGCGGUGAAAUGCGUAGAGAUCUGAGGAAUACCGGUGGCGAAGGCGGCCCCCGACAAAGACUGACGCUCAGGUGCGAAAGCGUGGGGAGCAAACAGGAUUAGAUACCCCGGUAGUCCACGCCGUAAACGAUGUCGAUUUGGAGGUUGUGCCCUUGAGGCGUGGCUUCCGGAGCUAACGCGUUAAAUCGACCGCCCGGGAGUACGGCCGCAAGGUUAAAACUCAAAUGAAUUGACGGGGCCCGCACAAGCGGUGGAGCAUGUGGUUUAAUUGAUGCAACGCGAAGAACCUACCCGGUCUUGACAUCCACAGAACUUUCCAGAGAUGGAUUGGUGCCUUCGGGAACUGUGAGACAGGUGCUGCAUGGCUGUCGUCAGCUCGUGUUGUGAAAUGUUGGGUUAAGUCCCGCAACGAGCGCAACCCUUAUCCUUUGUUGCCAGCGGUUAGCCGGGAACUCAAAGGAGACUGCCAGUGAUAAACUGGAGGAAGGUGGGGAUGACGUCAUCAUCACCUGACCCGUGGCUACACGUGCUACAAUGGCAUAUACAAAGAGAAGCGACCUCGCGAGAGCAAGCGGACCUCAUAAAGUAUGUCGUAGUCCGGAUUGAGUCUGCAACUCGACUCCAUGAAGUCGGAAUCGCUAGUAAUCGUAGAUCAGAAUGCUACGGUGAAUACGUUCCCGGGCCUUGUACACACCGCCCGUCACACCAUGGGAGUGGGUUGCAAAGAAGUAGGUAGCUUAACCUUCGGGAGGGCGCUUACCACUUUGUGAUUCAUGACUGGGGUGAAGUCGUAACAAGGUAACCGUAGGGGAACCUGCGGUUGAUCACCUCCUUA